GGGAUUGCCUUAGUAACGGCGAGUGAAGCGGCAACAGCUCAAAUUUGAAAGCUGGCCCUUUUAGGGUCCGCGUUGUAAUUUGUAGAGGAUGAUUCGGCGAGGGCUCCUGCCUAAGUCCCCUGGAACGGGGCGUCAUAGAGGGUGAGAAUCCCGUAUGCGGUAGGUUGCCUUAGCCAUGUGAAUCUCCUUCGACGAGUCGAGUUGUUUGGGAAUGCAGCUCUAAAUGGGAGGUAAAUUUCUUCUAAAGCUAAAUACUGGCCAGAGACCGAUAGCGCACAAGUAGAGUGAUCGAAAGAUGAAAAGCACUUUGGAAAGAGAGUUAAAAAGUACGUGAAAUUGUUGAAAGGGAAGCGCUUGCAACCAGACUUGUCCGCAGUUGCUCAGCCGGUCUCCUGACCGGCGUACUCUUCUGCGGCCAGGCCAGCAUCAGUUCGGGCGGUCGGAUAAAGGCCUCGGGAAUGUAGCUCCUCUCGGGGAGUGUUAUAGCCCGGGGUGGAAUGCGACCAGCCUGGACUGAGGAUCUCGCUUCGGCAAGGAUGCUGGCGUAAUGGUUGUAAGCGGCCCGUCUUGAAACACGGACCAAGGAGUCUAACAUCUAUGCGAGUGUUCGGGUGUCAAACCCGUACGCGUAAUGAAAGUGAACGGAGGUGGGAACCCGCAAGGGUGCACCAUCGGCCGAUCCUGAUGUCUUCGGAUGGAUUUGAGCAAGAGCAUAGCUGUUGGGACCCGAAAGAUGGUGAACUAUGCCUGAAUAGGGUGAAGCCAGAGGAAACUCUGGUGGAGGCUCGCAGCGGGUUCUGACGUGCAAAUCGAUCGUCAAAUUUGGGU
This 828-nucleotide ribosomal RNA is filed under the name Lasiodiplodia sp. RNAcentral's name for it is "partial large subunit ribosomal RNA". It matches the Rfam family "Eukaryotic large subunit ribosomal RNA", at positions 71 to 916 of the family's 3401-position model. The record is from RNAcentral. Lineage: Eukaryota; Fungi; Ascomycota; Dothideomycetes; Botryosphaeriales; Botryosphaeriaceae.